AACGAACGCUGGCGGCAGGCCUAACACAUGCAAGUCGAGCGCUCACUUCGGUGGGAGCGGCGGACGGGUUAGUAACGCGUAGGAAUCUACCUGGUAGUGGGGGACAACUCGGGGAAACUCGAGCUAAUACCGCAUACGCCCUACGGGGGAAAGCGGGGGACCUUCGGGCCUCGCGCUAUCAGAUGAGCCUGCGUUGGAUUAGCUAGUUGGUGGGGUAAUGGCCUACCAAGGCAACGAUCCAUAGCUGGUCUGAGAGGAUGAUCAGCCACACCGGGACUGAGACACGGCCCGGACUCCUACGGGAGGCAGCAGUGGGGAAUAUUGCGCAAUGGGCGAAAGCCUGACGCAGCCAUGCCGCGUGUGUGAAGAAGGCCUUCGGGUUGUAAAGCACUUUCGAAUUGGGAGGAAAGGUUCACGGCUAAUACCCGUGAGCCGUGACGUUACCUUUAGAAGAAGCACCGGCUAACUCCGUGCCGGCG
This 479-nucleotide ribosomal RNA is filed under the name uncultured bacterium. Its description in RNAcentral is "bacterial SSU rRNA". It matches the Rfam family "Bacterial small subunit ribosomal RNA", at positions 29 to 513 of the family's 1533-position model. The record is from RNAcentral.